CCUACGGGAGGCAGCAGUGAGGAAUAUUGGUCAAUGGGCGUAAGCCUGAACCAGCCAAGUCGCGUGAGGGAUGAAUGUUCUAUGGAUCGUAAACCUCUUUUAUAAGGGAAUAAAGUGUGGGACGUGUCCUAUUUUGUAUGUACCUUAUGAAUAAGGAUCGGCUAACUCCGUGCCAGCAGCCGCGGUAAUACGGAGGAUCCGAGCGUUAUCCGGAUUUAUUGGGUUUAAAGGGUGCGUAGGCGGCCUUUUAAGUCAGCUGUGAAAGUCUGUGGCUCAACCAUAGAAUUGCCGUUGAAACUGGGAGGCUUGAGUAUGUUUGAGGCAGGCGGAAUGCGUGGUGGAGCGGUGAAAUGCUUAGAUAUCACGCAGAACCCCGAUUGCGAAGGCAGACUGCCAAGCCAUGACUGACGCUGAUGCACGAAAGCGUGGGGAUCAAACAGGAUUAGAUACCCGGGUAGGC
Molecule: ribosomal RNA, 460 nt
Filed under: uncultured bacterium
Lineage: Bacteria
Description: partial 16S ribosomal RNA
Rfam family: Bacterial small subunit ribosomal RNA
Source: RNAcentral